AACGAACGCUGGCGGCAUGCCUAACACAUGCAAGUCGAACGGGUACCUUCGGGUGCUAGUGGCGCACGGGUGCGUAACGCGUGGGAAUCUGCCCUUGGGUUCGGAAUAACUCAGCGAAAGCUGUGCUAAUACCGGAUGAUGUCGAAAGACCAAAGAUUUAUCGCCCGAGGAUGCGCCCGCGUUGGAUUAGCUAGUUGGUGGGGUAAAGGCCUACCAAGGCGACGAUCCAUAGCUGGUCUGAGAGGAUGAUCAGCCACACUGGGACUGAGACACGGCCCAGAAUCCUACGGGAGGCAGCAGUGGGGAAUAUUGGACAAUGGGCGAAAGCCUGAUCCAGCAAUGCCGCGUGAGUGAUGAAGGCCUUAGGGUUGUAAAGCUCUUUUACCCGGGAUGAUAAUGACAGUACCGGGAGAAUAAGCGCCGGCUAACUCCGUG
This 435-nucleotide ribosomal RNA is filed under the name uncultured bacterium. Its description in RNAcentral is "partial 16S ribosomal RNA". It matches the Rfam family "Bacterial small subunit ribosomal RNA", at positions 29 to 507 of the family's 1533-position model. The record is from RNAcentral.